CACGUAGGGCGCGAGCGUUGUCCGGAAUUAUUGGGCGUAAAGAGCUCGUAGGCGGCCUGUUGCGUCCGCUGUGAAAGCCCGGGGCUUAACCCCGGGUCGGCAGUGGAUACGGGCAGGCUAGAGGUAGGUAGGGGAGAAUGGAAUUCCCGGUGUAGCGGUGAAAUGCGCAGAUAUCGGGAGGAACACCGGUGGCGAAGGCGGCACUCUGGGCCGAUACUGACACUGAGGAGCGAAAGCGUGGGGAGCGAACAGG
RNAcentral lists this ribosomal RNA (253 nucleotides) under uncultured bacterium. RNAcentral's name for it is "partial 16S ribosomal RNA". It matches the Rfam family "Bacterial small subunit ribosomal RNA", at positions 524 to 776 of the family's 1533-position model. The record is from RNAcentral.